AACAAUGCACACAACAGCUCCAAGAACAAAUGAUGUAACUAACACCCCUCUGAGUGCCACCAAGCAGGGCCAGAGCAGCCUGCUCAUGUCAGGCUCUUCAUCCAAGGAGGCUGUCAGAAACCUGAAAACCCGAAACCAAAAGCUUGCAGCACAUCCAGUGGCACCAUCACCAAGGAGGAGACAGAACAGGCAGGCUGAGCAGGACACAGCUCCCAGUCACAGAAUCCACUCUGGAAACCACACCUGUGAUCCAUCAACACCACUGCUCCAGGGGCCCCAGUGCCAUGGGGUGGCUGAAGCUCCUCUGCCACCUUAGACAAGCCCAAAUUACUGCCCUGUUCAGGUGACAGCUACCUGCACUUCUCUGUAAACACAAAAUUACAAUUAAAUACUCCAACACAACUGAAGCUGGCACCAGUUUUGCUACUAUAGUGUUAACUGACAGAUUAAUUCAAUGGCUUUGAGGACUCUGCCCACACCACCUAAUCCAUAAAUUGUACUUAUGCAUAGACUUUUGAGCAAUUCUUACUUGAUAUCUACUUCAAGUAUUUGCAGCACUUUGGGGGUUUAUUUCUGUCAUGCUUACUGCAUCUACUGCAGCUGACAACAGAGCCAAAAAGUUCAACCAGAGAACCAGAAAAAUAAAUUGCAUUUAGGAAUGGGUGGGAGGUUGCUCACUGAUGUUUAGUAUCAGUGAACACAGUGGCUGGCUUCAGGGUACUUGCAAGUAUUUUUAAGCCAAAGAAAGUUUAGCAGGUUCUUUCCUCCACGCAAUUCUUUCUCUGAGGAGUUUUUAAAGAGAUAAGCAUUGGGGUUUACUCAUCUGAGAUUACAUGCAUUGCUAAAGACAACUGGAUUAUACCUCUUCUGUAUUAAAAAAAAUAAGUCUGACUUGUCAGUAUCUAGAGAGUUAAAAUCCUCAGAUUAAAAAUGCACUUAGUACAUUCAAAAAGAUGAGAGCUGGUGACCAUCACAAGUACUGCCUCCAAAUACACACUCACAGAUUUACAGCAAUAUAAAAAUACAAGGCUGGCAGGAAACUGAAAUGAGAAGAAAACACAUAUGAAUCAUGCACACAACUAAUUAAACAUGAAAAUUAUCUUCACAGUCACUUACCUUCACCAUUGUAAGUUAACAUUCAGCAGAAGAAAUUUGAGAAGUGUAUUUUAGACAUAUGCAAUCUGGGAGUAAUAUUUCUUUUAAACUCAUGUCAGGAUAACACAGCUUCCUUUCCAAGCACUGAUUAUUUUGGGCUCUCCUAAGUGAAGCGAAAAAUGCUUAAGA
Catharus ustulatus (Swainson's thrush) is the source of this 1284-nucleotide long non-coding RNA. RefSeq lists it as uncharacterized. The record is from RefSeq and is a predicted model, not a curated record. NCBI's taxonomy places the organism in Eukaryota, Metazoa, Chordata, Aves, Passeriformes, Turdidae. The transcript has 2 exons.